GGGUUGUGAGGUUAAGCGACUAAGCGUACACGGUGGAUGCCCUGGCAGUCAGAGGCGAUGAAGGACGUGCUAAUCUGCGAUAAGCGUCGGUGAGGUGAUAUGAACCGUUAUAACCGGCGAUUUCCGAAUGGGGAAACCCAGUGUGUUUCGACACACUAUCAUUAACUGAAUCCAUAGGUUAAUGAGGCGAACCGGGGGAACUGAAACAUCUAAGUACCCCGAGGAAAAGAAAUCAACCGAGAUUCCCCCAGUAGCGGCGAGCGAACGGGGAGGAGCCCAGAGCCUGAAUCAGUGUGUGUGUUAGUGGAAGCGUCUGGAAAGGCGCGCGAUACAGGGUGACAGCCCCGUACACAAAAAUGCACAUAUUGUGAGCUCGAUGAGUAGGGCGGGACACGUGGUAUCCUGUCUGAAUAUGGGGGGACCAUCCUCCAAGGCUAAAUACUCCUGACUGACCGAUAGUGAACCAGUACCGUGAGGGAAAGGCGAAAAGAACCCCGGCGAGGGGAGUGAAAAAGAACCUGAAACCGUGUACGUACAAGCAGUGGGAGCCUCUUAAUGGGGUGACUGCGUACCUUUUGUAUAAUGGGUCAGCGACUUAUAUUCUGUAGCAAGGUUAACCGAAUA
Molecule: ribosomal RNA, 624 nt
Filed under: Escherichia coli
Lineage: Bacteria; Pseudomonadati; Pseudomonadota; Gammaproteobacteria; Enterobacterales; Enterobacteriaceae
Description: partial 23S ribosomal RNA
Rfam family: Bacterial large subunit ribosomal RNA
Source: RNAcentral